RNAcentral lists this ribosomal RNA (513 nucleotides) under uncultured bacterium. Its description in RNAcentral is "bacterial SSU rRNA". It matches the Rfam family "Bacterial small subunit ribosomal RNA", at positions 19 to 518 of the family's 1533-position model. The record is from RNAcentral.
AUGGCUCAGGAUGAACGCUAGCUACAGGCUUAACACAUGCAAGUCGAGGGGCAGCAUGAAACUUAGCUUGCUAAGUUUGAUGGCGACCGGCGCACGGGUGAGUAACACGUAUCCAACCUACCGUUUACUACGGGAUAGCCUUCUGAAAAAGGAGAUUAAUACCGUAUGGCAUUCUAAAGUUUCAUGACAUUAGAAUUAAAGGUUUACCGGUAAUCGAUGGGGAUGCGUUCCAUUAGAUAGUAGGCGGGGUAACGGCCCACCUAGUCAGCGAUGGAUAGGGGUUCUGAGAGGAAGGUCCCCCACAUUGGAACUGAGACACGGUCCAAACUCCUACGGGAGGCAGCAGUGAGGAAUAUUGGUCAAUGGGCGAGAGCCUGAACCAGCCAAGUAAGCGUGAAGGAUGACUGCCCUAUGGGUUGUAAACUUCUUUUAUAAAGGAAUAAAGUGGUCCACGUGUGGAUUUUUGUAUGUACUUUAUGAAUAAGGAUCGGCUAACUCCGUGCCAGCAGCGGC